Molecule: long non-coding RNA, 671 nt
Organism: Cornus florida
Lineage: Eukaryota; Viridiplantae; Streptophyta; Magnoliopsida; Cornales; Cornaceae
Exons: 4
Source: RefSeq, a predicted model, not a curated record
AAUAAAUGAAGUUAGGGCAAGUUUCAGACGACACAAACAAUGUCACAAUCUUCUUCGACACUACGCAGGGCGCAGCCUCCGCUAUCGCCUCAGGUGACAAGGACACUCUUCUUAGGAUCUCGUGAGGUUAUUUGCCUUGAACUUGAAUCAAAUCAUUGCAUAUUGAGCAUAUCUGUGUAUUAUGUAUUUGAAGCAAAGCAUGGAAAAGAGAAAUGUCCGAACUUGAAACAUGGUAAAGAAUUCAACUUUACGCAAAUAUUUGUGGAAAGAGAGAGAGAGAGAACUCACUUGUUUACACAGGUAAAAAGAUCAUUGCAUUCCUUCCAUGAUGCAAGAUCAUCAUACCAGAUUCCCUGUGUAGCAAUGGAAUAAUGAAAGCUAGCCGACUGUUGCCUAGUUGCUGUUGCUUACGUCGGUGAAGUUGUGGACUAUGUCUUCCUGGAGGAUGUUCAUGUCCUUCCCAUAGUAAUCUGCUGCAGCUGUGAGAACGAUUUCUCUAUCCCACACCUAUACAUUGCAAACGAGACAAAUUGUACAAUUAUAAGGAGCUAGGAAGUUAGGAAUUAUCAUAAAUAUUUUUCAACUAAUUUAAUUUAAUAUUCCGAUUGUUUUCCCAAAUAAAUAUGUGUGUGUAUACGUGUAUAUAUAUAUAUUCAUGACUUCUGAAUUUC